RNAcentral lists this ribosomal RNA (584 nucleotides) under uncultured bacterium. Its description in RNAcentral is "partial 16S ribosomal RNA". It matches the Rfam family "Bacterial small subunit ribosomal RNA", at positions 355 to 1375 of the family's 1533-position model. The record is from RNAcentral.
UGGGGAAUUUUGGACAAUGGGCGCAAGCCUGAUCCAGCCAUGCCGCGUGCGGGAAGAAGGCCUUCGGGUUGUAAACCGCUUUUGUCAGGGAAGAAAUCUUCUGAGUUAAUACCUCGGGAGGAUGACGGUACCUGAAGAAUAAGCACCGGCUAACUACGUGCCAGCAGCCGCGGUAAUACGUAGGGUGCAAGCGUUAAUCGGAAUUACUGGGCGUAAAGCGUGCGCAGGCGGUUUUGUAAGACAGAGGUGAAAUCCCCGGGCUCAACCUGGGAACUGCCUUUGUGACUGCAAGGCUUGAGUGCGGCAGAGGGGGAUGGAAUUCCGCGUGUAGCAGUGAAAUGCGUAGAUAUGCGGAGGAACACCGAUGGCGAAGGCAAUCCCCUGGGCCUGCACUGACGCUCAUGCACGAAAGCGUGGGGAGCAAACAGGAUUAGAUACCCUGGUAGUCCACGCCCUAAACGAUGUCAACUGGUUGUUGGGAAGGUUCCUUCUCAGUAACGUAGCUAACGCGUGAAGUUGACCGCCUGGGGAGUACGGCCGCAAGGUUGAAACUAAAUGAAUUGACGGGGUCAUAGCUGUUUCCU